AUUAAAAGUGGGGGAGAAAUUGACUGAUAAUCUCUGCGUCGGUGCGUUUUCUGUACUAGGUGUGUUAAUUAACGGACGGGUUAAAAACGACUGACACAGUGUGUAUUCUUUGUAUGGUGAGUUUUCUCGAAAGCGUACGUGUAUUUACAUAUUAUCGUGCGUACCACUGAACAAUAAAGAAAUGUAUCUUAAAAUUGAUCACAAGCAGUAUCGUUAUUUACCGAUAUCCGGACCAACCUCCAUUGAUAUCAAACUAACGAAUCUGUUUCGAAAGCAAGUUUAUGCGUGGUUUAAUGGUCGAGAGUGAGACAUUAAAGGACAAUAUUGGUGUCAGUGAAUAUUACAUAUGCGAUAGAAUAACUUAAAAGAUUCCAAAGAUAAUUUUUAAGUAAACCGCAAUAGCACCGUUUAGCAGUGACCUCCACCUAUUCAAAACGGAAUUGACGUACCUCAAAGGAAAACAAACAUUUUUUCAUUGGAAGCUCAAGCAAAUGUAGUUUGUUUUGGUCAGUAUAAGACUGUGAUUGUAGAUUUUCUCACUGAAAUGUAUUGUUGUUGUGUACCGGGAUGUUCACAUUCCACUUUAACUGUGAAACUUGGCAUUCCUUUUCACAAUUUCCCAAAAGAUCCAGAAAUAAGACGACGGUGACUUGUCAACAUGAGAGCACAGAACUAUCACGUAUGUGGCAAACACUUCAAACCAAGUGAUUACGAAUGUGAAACAAAGCAUUUGGUGGCACCUCAUCUAUUUAAGAAAAGAAAUAAUUUGAAAAAGACAGCAGUUCCCACUCAAUUUUCCUUCGAAGAAUGUCAAACAAGUAUGAUCUUUUAGAGGCAUUUAGUAACUGGAUAGAGCAAUAAACUAUAACACAUACGAUGUAAGAACAAUUACUGAUUUAUUUGGGCCACGUUUCGAAGAGUAUUCUCUCAACGUUUUCAAGCAAGUACAGUAACAAGUGUGUAGAGCAAUUAUAUAUAGACAAGCAAUAACAACAAUUCAGAAACCAUGCAUGACAACAACAAGAUCAAAGGAUUAAAAAACAACAUGAUCAAAGGCAAUAUACGUAUGACAAGUAAAGGUAAGCUAAAGUCUACUUUUGCAACAAGUAGGCCUACAUGUACUGUUACUAGUAAAUGUGCCGAUGAGACAACACCUCAAAUUCAGUAUGUGAGAAGUGCCUAUUAAAAGAGGGAAAACUUAAGAAAAUGUACAGAAGAAAAAACUGUUGUAGAUCUAGAACAGAGUAAGCCAUUACCGUUACCUCCAGUUUCAAAACUCCUUAAUGAUCCACCCACAAGCAGUCAUUCUCCAGCCCUGUAGCCAGUCAUUCAUCUCCUUUGUGGCAGCCCACUUUUGACACAUCUUUAGAUUCGGAGUUUGUUGAGUCAGAAAGAGAAAUAUUUUCUGACCCGACUGAGCAGAGUAAAGUUAGUAUUAAGAUUUUAUUACAAUUUUACACCCAUUUUAGGCAGCAUACACCAAAUGAAAAGCCGGGUCUUCAGAAGGGGGAUGCUGGAGCCCCCGUCCAUCUCUACCCCUUUAAAAACCAGCGGCAGUCAGUCAGGAUACGCCCGCAUUUUGCAAGAGAUGGAUAGAGAACAAGCUAAAAACAAACGCGAUUUUUUGUACAAUCAGGGGCAAUAAUCCAGAGAGUUAUUGCCUGAAAUGUGCAAAUAUCAAAAGGGACCGAGAUCUUUGAGAUAUAAAGAUAAGUUUUAAUCGGAUAAAAAUUGUGACCACUAGAGGGUCCACAACCUUUGUAUUACACACUUCUACACAAUUUGCGUACAAAGAGCGGCCAUUUUGUCGGGCAGAUUCAUUUUGAUUUUCCCGAAAUACGAAUUCAACCUUCAAUAUAGUGGAAUGGUGAUGUAUUUAAACGGUUUUUAAAAUCAGAAAAAAAUUGUGACCUCUAGAGAAUCUGCAAGCUAAAAAUGUGAUUUUUCGAACAAUCAGGGCCAUAAUCCAGGAAGUUAAGUUCGGAUAUCCGUGAUUAUGAAAAGGAACCAAGAUCGUUAGUGUGUAAUGGUGAUAUAUUCACACUUUUUUUUUAAAUUGGAUAAAAAUGUGAUUUUUUGUUCAAUCAAGGGCCAUAAUUCAACCUUCAAUAUAGUGGAAUGGUGAUGUAUUUAAACGGUUUUUAAAAUCAGAAAAAAAUUGUGACCUCUAGAGAAUCUGCAAGCUAAAAAUGUGAUUUUUCGAACAAUCAGGGCCAUAAUCCAGGAAGUUAAGUUCGGAUAUCCGUGAUUAUGAAAAGGAACCAAGAUGUUAGUGUGUAAUGGUGAUAUAUUCACACUUUUUUUUUAAAUUGGAUAAAAAUGUGAUUUUUUGUUCAAUCAAGGGCCAUAAUUCAACCUUCAAUAUAGUGGAAUGGUGAUGUAUUUAAACGGUUUUUAAAAUCAGAAAAAAAUUGUGAUCUCUAGAGAAUCUGCAAGCUAAAAAUGUGAUUUUUCGAACAAUCAGGGCCAUAAUCCAGGAAGUUAAGUUCGGAUAUCCGUGAUUAUGAAAAGGAACCAAGAUGUUAGUGUGUAAUGGUGAUAUAUUCACACUUUUUUUUUAAAUUGGAUAAAAAUGUGAUUUUUUGUUCAAUCAAGGGCCAUAAUUCAACCUUCAAUAUAGUGGAAUGGUGAUGUAUUUAAACGGUUUUUAAAAUCAGAAAAA
Long non-coding RNA from Patella vulgata (common limpet), 2662 nucleotides. RefSeq lists it as uncharacterized. The transcript is spliced from 3 exons. Lineage: Eukaryota; Metazoa; Mollusca; Gastropoda; Patellidae. The record is from RefSeq and is a predicted model, not a curated record.